GGGCUAAUGAUGACAAAUGCUAUAUCUUAGCCAAUUUCAGUGAGAUUUUAUCGAUGAUCUGAAUGCUAGACACACUGUAGCUU
This is a small nucleolar RNA of Papaver somniferum (opium poppy), 83 nucleotides long. RefSeq annotates it as small nucleolar RNA R11/Z151. The record is from RefSeq and is a predicted model, not a curated record. The transcript has a single exon. NCBI's taxonomy places the organism in Eukaryota, Viridiplantae, Streptophyta, Magnoliopsida, Ranunculales, Papaveraceae.